GUGCUCACUUCGGCAGCACAUAAUACUAAAAUUGGAAUGAUACAGAGAUUAGCAAGGCCCCUGUGCAAGGAUGACAUACGCAAAUUCAUGAAGCAUUCCAUAUUAAA
Herpailurus yagouaroundi (jaguarundi) is the source of this 107-nucleotide small nuclear RNA. The record is from RefSeq and is a predicted model, not a curated record. NCBI's taxonomy places the organism in Eukaryota, Metazoa, Chordata, Mammalia, Carnivora, Felidae.